This 97-nucleotide small nuclear RNA is filed under the name Vicugna pacos (alpaca). The record is from RNAcentral. Lineage: Eukaryota; Metazoa; Chordata; Mammalia; Artiodactyla; Camelidae.
CUGCUUUGGCAGCACAUACACCAAAACUUAAAGGAUACAGAUAUUAGCAUGGUCCCUUUGCAAGGACACACACAUCUGCGAAGUGCUCCACAUUAAA